CUCUCAGGACUAACCUACAUUUCCUCAUUGGCCUGAGGUCCAAAAAGAUGAAGAGAGACAAGCCUCAGAGCACAAGCAGCUGAAAAGUCUGGAGGCAAAGAGAGCUUAGGAAAUUGCCAAAGGUCUUUCAGCUUUCACUCGACAGUGCCAGCUUUUGACAGAGGGCAUCUGGCUCCAGAACCCAUGCCCUGUCCACAGUGGUCACUGCUAUUCCUGGAGGGCCAUUCUGCUCUGGGGUUGGCUGCCAAGCAGACCUCUCCCCACCCUGUCAUCACUGUGCUUCACUUCUGAGGCUCCCACGUCAGCUUUGGAAAGGGCCUCCCUGCUCUUGCCAUGAACCCUGGGGUAGCCUUUCCUUGAAUUCAAGAAUCUCCCAGCUGAAGGAUCUUCAGAAGGGCACUAGCUUCCUCUUCACCUGGGCCACGUCUGGCUGAUACAGUGUCAUCUGGGACCUGUCAGGAAUGAGCAUUCUGCCCGGAAACCCAAGCAAACACAUACAAUCUGGAGAGAAGAGGAUGUGCCAGGAAGUCAAGAGGAGAGACAAGGCUGAGUGAAAGUGGCUGACUGUGGUACAGGCUUCAAGUCUUGACCUUGUGGGAAGUCGUGGACUCUGCUCACAGGUGUGAGGGCUACAGGUGCAGUGCUCUCUGGUGGGUACCCCUUCCUGCUUGAGAGAAAGCAGGACAGCAGAGUUCUUCUUUCCAAGAUAAAUAUGUAAUUAAAGAUUUAUUACCUCAAUCACCAAGUACCAGAUAUAAAUUCUGAAGGAGGAACACGGCUGACCCCAGGAACCAGAAGCCAGGAAAAUAAUAUAAAUUAGACAGGAGACAGACUUUCGUUUGGUGGUUGUUGUUUUGCAUUUUCUGUUUUUGCUUUUGUUUCUUUCUGCUGGGGAUUGAACUCACAGUUUCACACAUGCUAACCUCCUACCAUCAGACUGUACCAUGACCUCUGAAAUUCUGCUGUCACACAUUCAUUUAGGGCCUUUUGUCAUUGGAAUUCAUUCUCUGUCUGUCUGUCUGUCUGUCUGUCUCCCCCUCGUCUCCCUCCCUCUCUCUCUCUCUCACUCUCUCUCUCUCCCCCUGGUACUGGAAAUUGGAUCCAGGGACACUUUACCAUUGAGCUACACCCCUUCUUUAUGUUGGGGUGGGGGGUAUACUGGGAAUUGAACU
This is a non-coding RNA of Heterocephalus glaber (naked mole-rat), 1172 nucleotides long. The record is from RefSeq and is a predicted model, not a curated record. NCBI's taxonomy places the organism in Eukaryota, Metazoa, Chordata, Mammalia, Rodentia, Bathyergidae.